RNAcentral lists this non-coding RNA (28 nucleotides) under Macaca fascicularis (crab-eating macaque). RNAcentral also lists the same sequence under 1 other name. The record is from RNAcentral. Lineage: Eukaryota; Metazoa; Chordata; Mammalia; Primates; Cercopithecidae.
UGGUAGUAGAACUGGGACUAGAACGAGA